CGGGGCGUGGCGCAGCCUGGUAGCGCGCCGCCUUUGGGUGGCGGAGGUCCCCGGUUCGAAUCCGGGCGCCCCGA
Molecule: non-coding RNA, 74 nt
Organism: Solirubrobacterales bacterium 70-9
Lineage: Bacteria; Bacillati; Actinomycetota; Thermoleophilia; Solirubrobacterales
Source: Rfam